GGAAUUUUGGACAAUGGACGCAAGUCUGAUCCAGCCAUUCCGCGUGCAGGACGAAGGCCUUCGGGUUGUAAACUGCUUUUGUACGGAACGAAAAAGCUCUUAUUAAUACUAGGAGUCCAUGACGGUACCGUAAGAAUAAGCACCGGCUAACUAUGUGCCAGCAGCCGCGGUAAUACAUAGGGUGCAAGCGUUGUCCGGAAUUAUUGGGCGUAAAGAGCUCGUAGGUGGUUUGAUACGUCGGGUGUGAAAUUCAGGGGCUCAACCCCUGACCUGCAUUCGAUACGGUCAAGCUAGAGUUUGGUAGGGGAGACUGGAAUUCCUGGUGUAGCGGUGGAAUGCGCAGAUAUCAGGAGGAACACCGAUGGCGAAGGCAGGUCUCUGGGCCAAUACUGACACUGAGGAGCGAAAGCGUGGGGAGCGAACAGGAUUAGAUACCCUGGUAGUCCACGCCGUAAACGGUGGGCGCUAGUUGUGCGAACCUUCCACGGUUUGUGCGACGCAGCUAACGCAUUAAGCGCCCCGCCUGGGGAGUACGAUCGCAAGAUUAAAACUCAAAGGAAUUGACGG
Molecule: ribosomal RNA, 567 nt
Filed under: uncultured bacterium
Lineage: Bacteria
Description: bacterial SSU rRNA
Rfam family: Bacterial small subunit ribosomal RNA
Source: RNAcentral